GGCUGAGAAAGAAUUGGGACCUAGCUCGGCCUGGCGAGGAGCAGCCUGGGGAGGAAGGGAGAGGUCAGAUGGGUCUGUAGAAAAGGAAGAUUAGAAAGACUCAGCGACGCUUGGGAAAAUGAAAGGAAUUGAAAUUAAGAGAAGGGAGAAAUUGAAGUGUGGCACCAAGAUUGAAAGGAGAAAGAGGUUGAGGGAUAGUGAGGGAGGUUGGAGAAGAGAGUAAAAAGAGGCCGCUUGCCGGAUUUGAAAUUGGUGAGAUGUUUCUUGGGCUGGUCACUCUGAGGACCUGAGGUCGUAGGUGGAUCUUUCUCAUGGAGCAAAGAACAGGAGGACAGGGGAUUGAUCUCCCAAGGGAGGUCCCCCGAUCCGAGUCACGGCACCAAAUCUCAUGCGCGUCCGUAUGAAGAGACCACCAAACAGGCUUUGUGUAGCAGCAGCAAAAAUGGCAAAAUGAGGACUUUUGAGAAUUCCUUUCUCUAUGGAAACAAAACCCUGGGGGAAAAUGGUCUGAAUCAACCUUUUCAGAACUCUGGAAAUUAGCCCGAGACUUGAAGCAAUUCAGGUUGCAUUUGUAUAAGAAAAGUGACAGAAUCUCAGUAAGAACAGCAAGCUUUGAAGGAUUUGAACUUGCCCAGUUGCCUUCCUUCUUUCUCCAUCUCUGCAGGGGACUUAAAACCAACAUCCCACACUCAUAAUGAAAACCUGGCAGGAGGCAGAACAGGAUUGGAGCUGCUUCAAAGCCUUAGGUCCAGAGAACUCAUCACCUAUGCAGAUCCUCAAUAAGACUCAAAGCUGAUUCCGCCUCAGAAACCAUGGAGACCCAAAGCCAAAUUCAAAGUGCUGAAAGUUAACUCAUCCAAUCAGUCAACUCUUGUACAGACCUCCUUUUUUUUUGUUCUUGGAGUUUGUUUUAUUCUAAUAAAGGUGUUUUAUAUUGUU
RNAcentral lists this long non-coding RNA (939 nucleotides) under Homo sapiens (human). RNAcentral describes it as "novel transcript". Lineage: Eukaryota; Metazoa; Chordata; Mammalia; Primates; Hominidae. The record is from RNAcentral.